GGAGGAAUGUUUAGACGCGUCUGUGUAAAUAUGAUGGUAAUCAACCCAAACAGUAUUUUUAAGAAGAUUAAACGAAAAAUUUGUACUAAUAUCGUGCUUAUUUAAAUCUGAGUUAAAAUUAAUUUCUGGAAGCAACAUUAAUGCUUCAAAGCUAGUACUGAAAAGAGGAUAAUUAAUGGAUCGAUGAAUAGGAGCUUUUAUGUUGAUAAAUUUCUUAAAACUAUUGAUUAGACAAGGUGGUUUUUUAUUUGACCAAUAUGCAGAUGAAUCUAUAUAAUGAGAAAGUUUCUGAAGUUUGUUAUAAAGAGAGUGGUUAAGAAACUGAAAAGAUCGGAAUAUAAAUUUGUCUGCUAAAUAUUGACGACGUAGAUGUAGUGGAGGAUCACCACAUUCUACUUGAAGAGCAUUGAUAGGACUUGACCGCAUAGCACCAGAAACUACUCGUAAAGCUUUGGACUGUAUGAGAUCUAGUUUUUUAAAUGCCUUAACACUACCAGGCUCCAGCAAGAAUGUACCAUAAUCUAAUAUACUUCUUAUAAGAGCAUUAUAUAACAAUUUCAUGCAAAAAGGGUGCGCACCCCACCAAACACCUGACAGACAUCUUAAAAUAUUAAGAGUACGCUCACAUUUAGCAUUUAGGUAAUCACAAUGUGGGAUACCAGUUAGUUUCGAAUCUAAGACAAUUCCCAAAAACUUAACAUUAUCUUUAACUGGAAUCUGAUAACCCUCAUAAAAUAUAGAAAUAGGAGGAGGAGUUCUUGAUCUCGUGAAUAAAACUAUUGUACUUUUUUCAGGUGAUAGAUCAAGGCCAUUUAAGUCCAACCAAGUUUUUAAAUUUAUCAGCGGUUGUGUUAUAGAAGAACUAGCUUUUUCAAUAGAAAUAUCACGACAGUAAAUUAAUAGAUCAUCAGCAUACUGAAGAACAUUUACACAAUUAAGUGAUGAUUUUAAAUCGUGUGUAUAAAUAUUAUACAAUAUUGGGCUAAGUACUGAUCCCUGGGGGAGGCCCUUUGAAACAAGUCGAGGUAACCAAUUAUUAAGUCUUCAGGAACGAAAGGUGGAGCCAAUUUAUCUAAAAAGCUAUUAACUAAAUGAAAAGGGAUUGAUUUUGGAGAUGAAUCUUUGUAUGCAGAUCUAAACCUUCUUAUAUUUUGCCAUACAAGAGAUGGUUUGACAUCAGCAUAUUUUCUUCUCUUUACUGCCUCAGUACAUUCGUUAUCCCACCAAGGAGGAGAAGGAAUAAAACCCAAAGAGCUAUUUUUACUUGGAAAUAUCUCAUUGGCAACCUCAAUAAAGAUUCUUGCUAAAGAAUCUGCACACUGAGAUUCUGUACCUGGAUUAAUUUUUGGAAGUGUAAUAAUUUUGUUUUUUAUUAGAUCUUUAUAUAAAUCCCAAUCAACAUCAUUAAGCUUAUAUUUUAA
Long non-coding RNA from Leptidea sinapis, 1421 nucleotides. RefSeq lists it as uncharacterized. The transcript has 3 exons. The record is from RefSeq and is a predicted model, not a curated record. Lineage: Eukaryota; Metazoa; Arthropoda; Insecta; Lepidoptera; Pieridae.